UACAGAGGGUGCGAGCGUUAAUCGGAAUUACUGGGCGUAAAGCGUGCGCAGGCGGUUAUGUAAGACAGAUGUGAAAUGCCCGGGCUCAACCUGGGAACUGCAUUUGUGACUGCAUGGCUAGAGUUUGGCAGAGGGGGGUAGAAUUCCACGUGUAGCAGUGAAAUGCGUAGAUAUGUGGAGGAAUACCGAUGGCGAAGGCAGCCCCCUGGGUCAAGACUGACGCUCAUGCACGAAAGCGUGGGGAGCAAACAGG
RNAcentral lists this ribosomal RNA (253 nucleotides) under uncultured bacterium. RNAcentral's name for it is "partial 16S ribosomal RNA". It matches the Rfam family "Bacterial small subunit ribosomal RNA", at positions 524 to 776 of the family's 1533-position model. The record is from RNAcentral.